RNAcentral lists this ribosomal RNA (253 nucleotides) under uncultured bacterium. RNAcentral's name for it is "partial 16S ribosomal RNA". It matches the Rfam family "Bacterial small subunit ribosomal RNA", at positions 524 to 776 of the family's 1533-position model. The record is from RNAcentral.
UACGUAGGGGGCAAGCGUUGUCCGGAUUUAUUGGGCGUAAAGAGCGUGUAGGCGGCUUGGCAAGUCUGCUGUGAAAACUCGAGGCUCAACCUCGAGCUGUCGGUGGAAACUGCCUGGCUAGAGUCCGGAAGAGGAGAGUGGAAUUCCUGGUGUAGCGGUGAAAUGCGCAGAUAUCAGGAAGAACACCGAUGGCGAAGGCAGCUCUCUGGGACGGUACUGACGCUGAGACGCGAAAGCGUGGGGAGCGAACAGG